RNAcentral lists this ribosomal RNA (805 nucleotides) under uncultured bacterium. RNAcentral's name for it is "bacterial SSU rRNA". It matches the Rfam family "Bacterial small subunit ribosomal RNA", at positions 1 to 799 of the family's 1533-position model. The record is from RNAcentral.
UAGAGUUUGAUCCUGGCUCAGGAUGAACGCUAGCUACAGGCUUAACACAUGCAAGUCGAGGGGAAACGACAUCGAAAGCUUGCUUUUGAUGGGCGUCGACCGGCGCACGGGUGAGUAACGCGUAUCCAACCUGCCCAUCACUUGGGGAUAACCUUGCGAAAGUAAGACUAAUACCCAAUGAUAUCUCUAGAAGACAUCUGAAGGAGAUUAACGAUUUAUCGGUGAUGGAUGGGGAUGCGUCUGAUUAGCUUGUUGGCGGGGUAACGGCCCACCAAGGCGACGAUCAGUAGGGGUUCUGAGAGGAAGGUCCCCCACAUUGGAACUGAGACACGGUCCAAACUCCUACGGGAGGCAGCAGUGAGGAAUAUUGGUCAAUGGGCGAGAGCCUGAACCAGCCAAGUAGCGUGCUGGAUGACGGCCCUAUGGGUUGUAAACUGCUUUUAUAAGGGAAUAAAGUGAGCCUCGUGAGGCUUUUUGCAUGUACCUUAUGAAUAAGGACCGGCUAAUUCCGUGCCAGCAGCCGCGGUAAUACGGAAGGUCCGGGCGUUAUCCGGAUUUAUUGGGUUUAAAGGGAGCGUAGGCCGGAGAUUAAGCGUGUUGUGAAAUGUAGACGCUCAACGUCUGCACUGCAGCGCGAACUGGUUUCCUUGAGUACGCACAAAGUGGGCGGAAUUCGUGGUGUAGCGGUGAAAUGCUUAGAUAUCACGAAGAACUCCGAUUGCGAAGGCAGCUCACUGGAGCGCAACUGACGCUGAAGCUCGAAAGUGCGGGUAUAGAACAGGAUUAGAUACCCUGGUAGUCCGCA